GGUGAUGCUGGAGCUCCUGGAAAGUCUAUUGAAAUGAAGGACAUUGAAGAGAUGUUUGAAGCAUAUGGAAUAAGGCUUCCUUUGCUGAAGGCUUUGAUUGACAGACUGCUGCAGGACGGAAUAGAGGAGCUGCUUCAUGUGCUCGGCACGACCAAGAAGGCAAAGGAAAACACAGACAGUCACACCUCCAACAUCAUCACAGAGUACACAAGUUCAGUGAAGUUUGACCUCACCAGCCAGCCUUCGUCUGACUUGGGCACCAUUGAAGAUGCAGCUUUAGAUUUUUCAGAGUCUUUGUCUAUUGAGCCUUUAAAUGAAACUGAAGAGGGUCCGACUUUAUGGACCGUCACUGCACUGAAUGGAGAGCAAGGGCUUGACAAGACUGAAACCAAAUUAAGGGGAUCCAGAAGGAAGGAGAUGGGGCCUUCACUCAAACUUAACCUAACUGUAGUCAAUACUACUUUUAAUUAUACUAUGAUGGAGGAGACGGUUUCAGGUUUACCUGGACCUGUGGUGGAAACUGUUCUUCUCACUCACGAAGAGUCUCUGACUAAGAAUGCGGGACAGAAGAAGAACAGGGAGCGUGGGAAGACAAGUGAAGGUGACAAGCAAGAAGAAGAGGAAGAGGAGGAGUUUUAUAACGGUGAAGAACUCAGUUAUGAGUAUGAGCAGGAGGAACCCUCCCCAGACGACCCCGCAGCCUCCACACAGCUUGAAGCCUUAACAGAUGGGUCCCUUCGUCUCGUGGAUAAAAAGGUGAACAUUAAUAAUAUGGUAGCCCACGGAAUAGUAAAAACUCAUUUACUGUGUCAGAACUAUGCUAUGAUGGACGAGCGGCUGAGACAGCUGAGCUCUGUUAGUCACUGCUCUGUUGUACCUGAGGAAAGCGGCACAUCUUGUCCUGUGUGCUGCUUUAGGAGGACGAAGUAUCCACACACAGUCCCAUCCAGAGAGAAACAUCAGCAGGAGCCUCCAGUCGUCCUGUGGCUUUACUCGCAGAAAGUGAAGCACCUGCAAAGGAUGAAGUGUCGCUGGCAACACCUCCCAUCACAACAGAGGAACCAGACGAGGUGCCUCGGUCUCAGUUCAGGGUGA
RNAcentral lists this long non-coding RNA (1095 nucleotides) under Betta splendens (Siamese fighting fish). RNAcentral describes it as "lncRNA (ENSBSLG00000026346.1)". Lineage: Eukaryota; Metazoa; Chordata; Actinopteri; Anabantiformes; Osphronemidae. The record is from RNAcentral.